GACGAACGCUGGCGGCGCGCUUAACACAUGCAAGUCGAACGGAAAGGCCUGCUUUCCCUUGUGGAUUGCGGGUACUCGAGUGGCGAACGGGUGAGUAACACGUGAGUGAUCUGCCCCCAACUUGGGUAUAAGCCUGGGAAACUGGGUCUAAUUCCCGAUAGGACUGCAGGGUGGUGCCUGUGGUGGAAAACGAUUUUCUAGUGGUUGGGGAUGAGCUCGCGGCCUAUCAGCUUGUUGGUGGGGUAAUGGCCUACCAAGGCGGCGACGGGUAGCCGGCCUGAGAGAGUGGACGGCCACAUUGGGACUGAGAUACGGCCCAGACUGCUACGGGAGGCAGCAGUGGGGAAUAUUGCACAAUGGGCGGAAGCCUGAUGCAGCGACGCCGCGUGGGGGAUGACGGCCUUCGGGUUGUAAACUCCUUUCGACCGCGAGGAAGCCACCUGGUUGGAAGGGUGGUGACGGUAGUGGUAGAAGAAGCACCGGCUAACUACGUG
RNAcentral lists this ribosomal RNA (494 nucleotides) under uncultured bacterium. Its description in RNAcentral is "partial 16S ribosomal RNA". It matches the Rfam family "Bacterial small subunit ribosomal RNA", at positions 28 to 507 of the family's 1533-position model. The record is from RNAcentral.